This 418-nucleotide non-coding RNA is filed under the name Georgenia sp. SUBG003. RNAcentral describes it as "bacterial LSU rRNA". It matches the Rfam family "Bacterial large subunit ribosomal RNA", at positions 2467 to 2861 of the family's 2925-position model. The record is from RNAcentral. Lineage: Bacteria; Bacillati; Actinomycetota; Actinomycetes; Allobogoriellales; Allobogoriellaceae.
CCCGGGGAUAACAGGCUGAUCUUGCCCAAGAGUCCAUAUCGACGGCAUGGUUUGGCACCUCGAUGUCGGCUCGUCGCAUCCUGGGGGCUGGAGUAGGUCCCCAAGGGGUUGGGGCUGUUUCGCCCCAUUUAAAAGCGGGUACGCGAGCUGGGGUUUUAGAAACGUCGUGAGACAGUUUCGGUCCCCUAUCCGCUGCGCGCGCAGGGAAAACUUGAGAAAGGGGCUGUCCCCUAGUACGAGAGGACCGGGGACGGACGAACCUCUGGUGUGCCAGUUGUUCCGCCAGGAGCAUGGCUGGUUGGCUACGUUCGGAAGGGAUAACCGCUGAAAAGCAUCUAAGCGGGAAGCCUGCUUCAAGAUGAGGUUUCCACCACCCUCGUGGUGGGAAGGCCCCCAGCAGACCACUGGGUUGAUAGGC